AUGGGUGGUGCCUCCGCUUCCUUCUUCUACCUCUUGCUGUCCCUCCUCUGGGUUCAGGAUGCGGCCGCGACUGGUCUUGGCUCCACAAGAAGUGAUUUCCCACAGGAGUUCGUCUUUGGAGCUGGAACCUCGGCAUACCAGUAUGAGGGCGCUGUUGUUGAGGAUGGCAGGAGCCCGAGCAGUUGGGACACUUUCACCCACGCAGGUAAAAUGCCAGACAAAAGCACGGGAGAUGUUGCUGCAGAUGGGUACCACAAAUACAUGGAGGAUGUCAAGCGCAUGUAUGAGACAGACCUAGAGGCCUAUAGGUUCUCCAUCUCCUGGUCAAGGCUCAUUCCAAAUGGGCGUGGAGCUGUCAAUCCCAAAGGGCUAAAGUACUACAAUAACCUCAUUGAUGAGCUAGUGAAUCAUGGAAUUCAAGUCCACAUCACACUUCACCAUCUAGAUCUCCCCCAGAUUCUUGAAGACGAGUAUGGUGGAUGGUUAAGUCCCAGAAUCAUCGAAGAUUUCACAGCAUAUGCAGAUGUUUGCUUCAGGGAGUUUGGAGAUAGGGUUGCAUCUUGA
This 564-nucleotide ribosomal RNA is filed under the name Triticum aestivum (bread wheat). RNAcentral describes it as "partial small subunit ribosomal RNA". The record is from RNAcentral. Lineage: Eukaryota; Viridiplantae; Streptophyta; Magnoliopsida; Poales; Poaceae.